Dromaius novaehollandiae (emu) is the source of this 1048-nucleotide long non-coding RNA. RefSeq lists it as uncharacterized. The transcript has 3 exons. Lineage: Eukaryota; Metazoa; Chordata; Aves; Casuariiformes; Dromaiidae. The record is from RefSeq and is a predicted model, not a curated record.
UGCAAUAUUUCUCUCGCUAUCACAGCCUGAAGCCAUUGACCUUUGGACCUAGAGGGGCAGCAGAAGGGAAGCGCUACAUUUCACUGAACUUGGAUGUUACAGUUCCUUCUGCCUUCACUUUACUGCUUUCCAAAAUAUGCAGCUAGCUGAAAUAACACAUUCAAAAAGCUGAAUUCUCAUCAAGGAUGCUGCAUCGCAAGUGAGCAAUGGUGUGGAGGAGCUAACAGGCAGUUCGAUGGAAAGUCCUUGAAGGACCUUGAACGAGGAAGAAGGAGGAAGAAGGAUGUCUGCGCAAGGCAAAGAUGAGGAAGUAAGAAGCAGAGAAAAAACAAAGUCAGCAUCCUACUAAUCCAGCCCAUGUGCCACGUGUUCCUGUAGCUUCACCCAAUUAUAGGCUAGAGCUAGGCGCAUGGACAACGAUCAUUAGCGAAUCGCAAGUGAGAAAGCUAUGCGUAAAGAAUCUAUACGAGUAUAAGUGUACGAGCAGAACCUCAAUAAAGGGUCUUCUGAUUUACCCGCCUCAGGAGUCCGUGUCAUAACUCUCCGCAAAUGGUGACCCCAACGUGAUAGGGUCGAAGAAGCGCUGAGGGCAGCGCCCGGGAGAGCAUCCAGCUGAACGAUCGUCUCAUCAGCAGGACUGAUUGAGCACAUGCCCGGGCAAUCACCUUUCCACGAGAUCAGGUGAGCGGCUGGAUAAGUUUAAAAAUGGGAGCACAGAUGUCAGCCGAAGAAGAGGCUAUAAUGAAAUUAUUGCCUAAAUUAUUGCAAAGGUGGGGUAUUAAGUAUGAUGAACAUAAGUUGAAGCUUUUGUUAAAAUGGCUAAGAGUAAACGGCGUCCCAGCUGAUUCAACCACAGCCUUCCUGCCAGGAACUUGGGAACAUGCAGGAGAAUUCAUCUGGGAUGCUGCUUCAAAGGGAGAUUGUACAGCAUCAGUUAUAAUGACCACUUGGCGUCUAGUACUAGAGAUGCUAAAAGCCAUAAAAGCAGAGAAAAGGGUCGCAGGGGAGGCAAAAUCAGCCUUAUGCGAGUCAGAAGCGAAGGAGGGUG